GGGGCUUUAGCUCAGUGGUAGAGCGCGUGCUUUGCAUGCAUGAGGUCACCGGUUCGAACCCGGUAAGCUCCA
RNAcentral lists this transfer RNA (72 nucleotides) under Volvox africanus. It matches the Rfam family "tRNA". Rfam says of the family: Transfer RNA (tRNA) molecules are approximately 80 nucleotides in length. Their secondary structure includes four short double-helical elements and three loops (D, anti-codon, and T loops). The record is from Rfam by way of RNAcentral. Lineage: Eukaryota; Viridiplantae; Chlorophyta; Chlorophyceae; Chlamydomonadales; Volvocaceae. RNAcentral also lists the same sequence under 2 other names.